RNAcentral lists this ribosomal RNA (390 nucleotides) under uncultured Prorocentrum. RNAcentral describes it as "partial small subunit ribosomal RNA". It matches the Rfam family "Eukaryotic small subunit ribosomal RNA", at positions 30 to 432 of the family's 1831-position model. The record is from RNAcentral. Lineage: Eukaryota; Dinophyceae; Prorocentrales; Prorocentraceae.
GCUUGUCUCAAAGAUUAAGCCAUGCAUGUCUAAGUAUAAGCCUUUGUACGGCGAAACUGCGAAUGGCUCAUUAAAACAGUUAUAGUUUAUUCGAUAAUCAAUUGCUACAUGGAUAACUGUAGUAAUUCUAGAGCUAAUACAUGCGUCAGAACCCAACUUUACGGAAGGGUCGUGUUUAUUAGAUACAAAACCAACAUCUCGUUGGUGAUUCAUAAUAACCGAACGAAUCGUAUGGCAUCAGCUGGCGAUGAAUCAUUCAAGUUUCUGACCUAUCAGCUUCCGACGGUAGGGUAUUGGCCUACCGUGGCAAUGACGGGUAACGGAGAAUUAGGGUUCGAUUCCGGAGAGGGAGCCUGAGAAACGGCUACCACAUCUAAGGAAGGCAGCAGG